Molecule: long non-coding RNA, 297 nt
Organism: Helianthus annuus (common sunflower)
Lineage: Eukaryota; Viridiplantae; Streptophyta; Magnoliopsida; Asterales; Asteraceae
Exons: 3
Source: RefSeq, a predicted model, not a curated record
GCCAAAUCAGUUCCAAAUCAAGCUCUAAUCACAUAUUAGUAAACACCUCGUUGUAAGGAUCAAAAGGCAAAGAGUCCGGUUCAUCUAGCGGACAAGCCGGAGGGAGUUCACGAGGAAAAGACGCGCUCUAAAAGUUCUCAGGUACUCAAGUAAAGGAUGAAGGUCAAGCAAGCGAGCCGAACCGAACACACAAUCUUUUAGAACGCUUCCGCAAUUAUGACUUUUGUUUUAGAUACUAAGUAAACUAAUGGUAGUUACCGUCUUGUAUGGGAUUUUAUAACAACAAUACAUGUAUGU